UACGUAGGGCGCAAGCGUUGUCCGGAAUUAUUGGGCGUAAAGAGCUCGUAGGCGGUUUGUCGCGUCUGCCGUGAAAGUCCGGGGCUCAACUCCGGAUCUGCGGUGGGUACGGGCAGACUAGAGUGAUGUAGGGGAGACUGGAAUUCCUGGUGUAGCGGUGAAAUGCGCAGAUAUCAGGAGGAACACCGAUGGCGAAGGCAGGUCUCUGGGCAGUAACUGACGCUGAGGAGCGAAAGCGUGGGGAGCGAACAGG
This 253-nucleotide ribosomal RNA is filed under the name uncultured bacterium. RNAcentral describes it as "partial 16S ribosomal RNA". It matches the Rfam family "Bacterial small subunit ribosomal RNA", at positions 524 to 776 of the family's 1533-position model. The record is from RNAcentral.